GGACCGUAUACAAGUCUCCUGGGAUGGAGCAUCAUAGAGGGUGAGAAUCCCGUCUUUGAUACGGACUACCAGUGCAUUGUGGUAUGCUCUCAACGAGUCGAGUUGUUUGGGAAUGCAGCUCAAAAUGGGUGGUAAAUUCCAUCUAAAGCUAAAUAUUGGCGAGAGACCGAUAGCGAACAAGUACCGUGAGGGAAAGAUGAAAAGAACUUUGGAAAGAGAGUUAAACAGUACGUGAAAUUGCUGAAAGGGAAACGCUUGAAGUCAGUCACGUCUGCUGGGAAUCAGCCUCGCUUCUGCGUGGUGUACUUUCUGGUAUGACGGGUCAGCAUCAGUUUUGACCACUGGAAAAAGGUGUGGGGAAUGUGGCAGCUCCGGCUGUGUUAUAGCCUCAUAUUGUAUACAGUGGUUGGGACUGAGGAACGCAGCACGCCGAAAGGCCGGGUCUUUGACCACGUUCGUGCUUAGGAUGCUGGCAUAAUGGCUUUAAGCGACCCGUCUUGAAACACGGACCAAGGAGUCUAACAUGCCUGCGAGUGUUUGGGUGGAAAACUCGAGCGCGCAAUGAAAGUGAAAGUUGAGAUCCCUGUCGUGGGGAGCAUCGACGCCCGGACCAGAACUUUUGGGACGGAUCCGCGGUAGAGCAUGUAUGUUGGGACCCGAAAGAUGGUGAACUAUGCCUGAAUAGGGUGAAGCCAGAGGAAACUCUGGUGGAGGCUCGUAGCGGUUCUGACGUGCAAAUCGAUCGU
This 746-nucleotide ribosomal RNA is filed under the name Micropsalliota arginophaea. Its description in RNAcentral is "eukaryotic LSU rRNA". It matches the Rfam family "Eukaryotic large subunit ribosomal RNA", at positions 172 to 905 of the family's 3401-position model. The record is from RNAcentral. Lineage: Eukaryota; Fungi; Basidiomycota; Agaricomycetes; Agaricales; Agaricaceae.